UGCCUGAUAGCACAAUGGUAGUGCACGGCACUGUUAAUGCUGGGGUUGUAGGUUCGAGUCCUACUCAGGCAG
RNAcentral lists this transfer RNA (72 nucleotides) under bacterium. Its description in RNAcentral is "tRNA-Asn". It matches the Rfam family "tRNA". From Rfam's summary of the family: Transfer RNA (tRNA) molecules are approximately 80 nucleotides in length. RNAcentral also lists the same sequence under 1 other name. The record is from RNAcentral.